AGAGUUUGAUCCUGGCUCAGAUUGAACGCUGGCGGUAUGCUUAACACAUGCAAGUCGAACGGUAACAGCAAGAGCUUGCUCUUGGCUGACGAGUGGCGGACGGGUGAGUAACGCGUGGGAAUCUACCCAAUAGUUCGGGACAACCUGGUGAAAACCAGGCUAAUACCGGAUGUGAUCUACGGAUGAAAGCAGGGGACCUUCGGGCCUUGCGCUAUUGGAUGAGCCCGCGUUAGAUUAGCUAGUUGGUGGGGUAAAGGCCUACCAAGGCGACGAUCUAUAGCUGGUCUGAGAGGACGAUCAGCCACACUGGGACUGAGACACGGCCCAGACUCCUACGGGAGGCAGCAGUGGGGAAUAUUGGACAAUGGGGGCAACCCUGAUCUAGCAAUACCGCGUGUGUGAAGAAGGCCUGCGGGUUGUAAAGCACUUUCAAUUGUGAAGAAAAGAUUAAGGUUAAUAACCUUAGUCCUUGACGUUAACUUUAGAAGAAGCACCGGCUAACUCCGUGCCAGCAGCCGCGGUAAUACGGAGGGUGCGAGCGUUAAUCGGAAUUACUGGGCGUAAAGCGUGCGUAGGCGGUUAUUUAAGUCAGAUGUGAAAGCCCAGGGCUCAACCUUGGAACUGCAUUUGAAACUGGAUAACUAGAGUUUGGUAGAGGUGAGUAGAAUUCCUAGUGUAGCGGUGAAAUGCGUAGAUAUUAGGAGGAAUACCAGUGGCGAAGGCGGCUCACUGGACCAAAACUGACGCUGAGGCACGAAAGCGUGGGGAGCAAACGGGAUUAGAUACCCCGGUAGUCCACGCCGUAAACGAUGUCAACUAGUCGUUGGGCCUUUCGGGGCUUAGUGACGCAGCUAACGCGUGAAGUUGACCGCCUGGGGAGUACGGCCGCAAGGCUAAAACUCAAAUGAAUUGACGG
This 916-nucleotide ribosomal RNA is filed under the name bacterium symbiont of Bobmarleya gadensis. RNAcentral's name for it is "bacterial SSU rRNA". It matches the Rfam family "Bacterial small subunit ribosomal RNA", at positions 8 to 916 of the family's 1533-position model. The record is from RNAcentral.